CAAGAAGUGCCUAUGGACAAAUCCUUCGAAUAUAGCUUAAGGCAACCAUUAGUCCAUAGGGAUUUCCAUCAAUUACCAAAACCACAUACGGAGAAAUAUGCUCUAACACACGGGCAUGGGGAAAGUUGAACCCAGAAACAUGGAAGUGUAUUUACACAAUAGAGCAACUUGCAACACCCGUGGAAGCCCUUCGAACUGCAAUAAAGGACGUGAAUGACGAGAAGUUCAUUUCCUGCACAGAGAACAGCGAGCUGACACGCGCCCUCGGGAAUCUUGAACACAGUGGACGAACACGAGGCACACCACGCUCCGUUCCAUGGAAGGUUGGGGUUCCCGACGACAGGGACAACUAUAGAAGCCGAGCGAGAAAGAAGAAACAUGAAGAAUACCAGAAUAAACAGGAAGCAUACCAGCUGUAGAAGGUAGAAGAAAAAUUAGAGGUCGAGCAGCAGAUAAUAGAUAGGCAUACGAGAGAGAGAGCUACCACCGACCCAGUUGAUCCUGCA
RNAcentral lists this long non-coding RNA (506 nucleotides) under Hordeum vulgare. RNAcentral describes it as "long non-coding RNA (HVUL_LNC008722)". Lineage: Eukaryota; Viridiplantae; Streptophyta; Magnoliopsida; Poales; Poaceae. The record is from RNAcentral.